Myotis brandtii (Brandt's bat) is the source of this 46-nucleotide non-coding RNA. The record is from Rfam. Lineage: Eukaryota; Metazoa; Chordata; Mammalia; Chiroptera; Vespertilionidae.
UCAAAGGCUCUUUUAAGAGCCACGUAUGUUUCCUGAAAAGAGCUGU